GAUGAAGAACGUAGCGAAAUGCGAUAAGUAAUGUGAAUUGCAGAUUUCAGUGAAUCAUCGAAUCUUUGAACGCACCUUGCGCCUUGUGGUAUUCCACAAGGCAUGCCCGUUUGAGUAUCAUUAAAUCAUCAACUCUAAAACCUUUGUGGUUUUUUUAGAGCUUGGUCUUGAGGGUUUUGCAGGCUUUUUUUUUUUCGAUUCUGCUCCCUUUAAAUGCAUUAGCUAGACUUCCCUAUGCUGAACCGUCUCUUUGACGUGAUAAUUAUCUGCGUCGAGUUUUGGUUCUCGUUGGGCUUGCUUCUAAUCUUCUGUUAAAGACAAAACGGAUUUGGGUGCAUAUAUGCGCCUUUUUCCAAAACCUUUUUUGAUCUCAAAUCGGGUAGGACUACCCGCUGAACUUAAGCAUAUCAAUAAGCGGAGGA
Molecule: unclassified non-coding RNA, 422 nt
Filed under: soil metagenome
Description: partial contains 5.8S ribosomal RNA, internal transcribed spacer 2, and large subunit ribosomal RNA
Rfam family: 5.8S ribosomal RNA (bases 1-120)
Source: RNAcentral